This is a long non-coding RNA of Dermacentor silvarum, 1954 nucleotides long. RefSeq lists it as uncharacterized. The record is from RefSeq and is a predicted model, not a curated record. NCBI's taxonomy places the organism in Eukaryota, Metazoa, Arthropoda, Arachnida, Ixodida, Ixodidae. The transcript has 3 exons.
CGCUAUAUAACGAGCAAACGGUUGCAACCCUGGCCGCCGUCUAGCCAGUUGAAGACAAGCCAGUAAGCCAGUUAGCUGCUUUGAAGUCGAUCGGCAAGGGAAAAGACAGUAAACCUCAACCUAGUUGCCCGUUUAGUUUGGUCCCGCAAGCAAUCGCCGUGUGUGAGUUCUUCUGAGAGUAGAAAAAAAGGCCAUCGGAAGCCAUGCAUUAUUACCUAAGUAUCCGGCUGCUUACUGUGGGCAUCAUCGCGUUUGCUGCUGCGGCUCUUGCAUACGAGUACCCUGAAUCAAACGAGGAUGUUGACUUGGGGGCACGAAGUGACGAAGAACGUGAAGGAAUCCUUGAUGGCGCCAAAAAUUUGGUUGUGCGUUUAGCAGACAUCGUUAACCGACACGUCGUGGAUCCUAUAAAGAAUUUCUUUGGCGCUGGAACUAACAUCAACCAGUAAUCGUCGUUAUGCCUUCCAGAACAGCAUUAGAGUCGAAUCUGCUGUGCACAGUCUUACGAUAUCAUCACGACCAGCAAGCCGCAGCACCGGCCCUGUUAUGUUUCUUGAAAGAGUUACUUUGGCAUUUCAUUGUGUUCGAAGCGAACAUAGGUAAAACACACAUCUGUAACUUUCCCUCUUCGAGUUUCAGCGCAUCUUAUGUUGCUUACUAUAAGACGUGUCCUGUUACUGUUCUUUCAUUUCUGGUCAGAGUGUCAUUUUUCUGUGCAUUUGUAUCAAAAUAAAUGGUAAGGAAUAGUGUUGCGCUAGAUUCUUACCGAGGCACAAGCUUUUUGUUACUCGAGUGUCGCACUAGAAGACACACACCGCCAUGGUGGUAGUGUAUGACUCAUUAUGAAUAAUUGCGCAAUGUUUUUUUUAUUACUGACCUCCUAGGGGUGUCUGUAGGCGUUUCGUGCGUUCCGACAUCACGGACCCAAUCACAUUAGGUUUGGGUGCUGCGGUGCAGUUGUGCGCUGCUGGGCCGUCUCUGGAGAAAAAGUCGCGGUUUCGCCCAAAAGGGGAAGCAUUGAUUUCGAUAGCAAAAUUAGUUGACAGCUAUACGAAAUAAGGGUAGUAGUUUUAUCGGCCGUAUAUAUUUGCAAACAUUGGCUUACUAACUAAGUUAACAAGCAUGGUGUCGCGCGCGCACAAGCAAAGAAGAAGACACCUCACUCGUUGACCGCGGAAACUCUCUGUCACAACGCUGGAGUAAGCAGGCGUGGCAGCAGCAGCAAUCAGCGAAUUGAUCUUCGUGCGGCCUCUUCAAUGCGAACGAAGCGGCGAAAACAGCGGAAGGGGAACGGAAGGAGAGGCCCUACCCCUUCACCGAGCUAGGAGAAAAGUGUGGAAGAAGUCACGUGGCAUUUUUUUCAUUUUUUUUCGCUGUAGCAGCCAUGUUGUCGUGCCACAAUGGCGGCUUUGUUAUGGUUGUAGGCGCUUACACGUGUUGCUCCGUAGGUCUCGUACCGUGGCGAAGGCGUCGUGUGGGCAGGUUUGCGCUAGUCUGCGUGUUUUGUUGCGCUGUGUUAUCUGGACCCUGCUCACCCGGAUGUUGCUGUGGCCAGGUGGUACUGGAGGAACUAAAGCGUGUGAAAUGGACGCGCAUGCAACGCUGUACGCAAUGUACCGCGCCACGGAUAUGGCCACGGACGAAGGAAUAUCUGCGGGAAAUUUUGCCCUCUUCGGCGGAAUCAUGUGCCAUGGUAGACCGAAACCGCUGUGUUUCAGAAUCUGUACAAUGAACGACUUGCAGGCCAGGGACAGUCGUGGAGUAUUCCUGCUUUUGACAGCGGAUGGUGCGAUUGCGGCUAGUAGAACGUUAUACAAGAAUUUCGUGUUUAGUAACAACUUGCUUUUGUGCAUAUUAAAAAAAAACAUGUUGCACAACUGUUUGUUUCUCGCAGUACUCGCGACAGCACGAACUCGUUUGACUGGAGCGCGUUCGAGGGACACACACCUGCACA